UACGAAGGGGGCUAGCGUUGCUCGGAAUUACUGGGCGUAAAGCGCACGUAGGCGGAUUGUUAAGUCAGGGGUGAAAUCCUGGAGCUCAACUCCAGAACUGCCUUUGAUACUGGUGAGCUUGAGUCCGGAAGAGGUGAGUGGAACUGCGAGUGUAGAGGUGAAAUUCGUAGAUAUUCGCAAGAACACCAGUGGCGAAGGCGGCUCACUGGUCCGGUACUGACGCUGAGGUGCGAAAGCGUGGGGAGCAAACAGG
This 253-nucleotide ribosomal RNA is filed under the name uncultured bacterium. Its description in RNAcentral is "partial 16S ribosomal RNA". It matches the Rfam family "Bacterial small subunit ribosomal RNA", at positions 524 to 776 of the family's 1533-position model. The record is from RNAcentral.